Molecule: transfer RNA, 77 nt
Filed under: Pseudomonadota bacterium
Lineage: Bacteria; Pseudomonadati; Pseudomonadota
Description: Proteobacteria bacterium (sediment metagenome) tRNA-Arg
Rfam family: tRNA
About the family: Transfer RNA (tRNA) molecules are approximately 80 nucleotides in length. Their secondary structure includes four short double-helical elements and three loops (D, anti-codon, and T loops).
Source: RNAcentral
GCGCCCAUAGCUCAGUUGGAUAGAGCGUCGGACUACGAAUCCGAAGGCCGCAAGUUCGAAUCUUGCUGGGCGCACCA